UAAAGGGAACGCAGGUGGUUAAUUAAGUCUGAUGUGAAAGCCCACGGCUUAACCGUGGAGGGUCAUUGGAAACUGGUUGACUUGAGUGCAGAAGAGGGAAGUGGAAUUCCAUGUGUAGCGGUGAAAUGCGCAGAGAUAUGGAGGAACACCAGUGGCGAAGGCGGCUCUCUGGUCUGUAACUGACGCUGAUGUGCGAAAGCGUGGGGAUCAAACAG
Molecule: ribosomal RNA, 215 nt
Filed under: uncultured bacterium
Lineage: Bacteria
Description: partial 16S ribosomal RNA
Rfam family: Bacterial small subunit ribosomal RNA
Source: RNAcentral